RNAcentral lists this unclassified non-coding RNA (2377 nucleotides) under Hevea brasiliensis (rubber tree). The record is from RNAcentral. Lineage: Eukaryota; Viridiplantae; Streptophyta; Magnoliopsida; Malpighiales; Euphorbiaceae.
UUCCUUAUCAAUGGCAACUGCAGCGCUGUCAUCGUACCGUAUUAUGGUACCGUUAGCUAUGCCAUAUCCCUAAUCGUAACGUCGACGCGCUGUUCCCUCUCAAAACGGAACCCUCCCUCCGUUGUUUCACUAGAAAAACCCCUCAAAAACCAGCAUACACAUCAUCAGCCACUCGCGAUGGAGGAAGCGGAGAGUGUAUUGGAAGCUAUUUAUGAAGAAGACGACAGAUUAGAAGAGGCUGAAGAUGUUGAGAUGGUUGAUGUGGAAGAAGGAGAGUUGCUUGAGCUUAACCCACAAAUUGGUCAGGGACAAAGCAGUGGUGGUGGGGGUGUAUGCGACACUAUUGGAAUUCAUGCUUUGCACAGCAAAAACCGCAGGCGUAGGGAAAAUAAGAAGAAAAAUAGGAAAAAGAGAGGUAGUCUAGGGCCAAAUGUGACAGAUAUAAACAGGUUUGUGGUAGAUACUUGUGGACGCCUGAAAGAGAAAAAACUCCUACAUGGUAUAUACUUCCGUAGGUUGUCUGGGAAUUUCUGCGUUAAGUGAUCUGGUGAAAGAGGUAGUUUCAGAAAGAAAGUUUAUUAGGUUGUUUGAGAACUGAUUUUGUUAGCAAGAUUGUGAUGUGAUGUGCUGUUUCAUGUCAACUAUGCAUUCCAAGAUUUAUUUGGAUGACAAAUUUAUGGGUUUCUGAUGCUGAUUAAAUCCUUGACAGAACCAGACAGCAGAUAGAAUUAGAGUUUGUUGGUCUGGUUUCAAUUUUCCAUUAGAAGAUGCUUUGCUGCAUCUUCUUGUUCUAAGAACCUGAUUUGUCCCAAUGGUCCUUUUCUCAUUGGAUCCUUGGGCUCCAUUGUUCAUGCUUUGCAAGCAUUUUUCUUGAAAACAUUGUGUAUUCUGUCUUCAUUAUUCGUUUUCAAAAUGUUAGUAGCUUUGUGUUUUUCUCUACAUGUACUUGGACCCUUGCUAUCUCUCAAUAAUCAUUACAGAUGUGGUUUCUCUUGUUACUGCUAGGUGUUUCUGGGGAUGACUCUGACCUUACCCCUCCCAAUAUUGCCUUCUUUUCACACCCGAUGACAAUAUUUUUAGAAACAAACCGCUCUUUUCUUUUGGUGGAUGCAAUUCAGUCUUGUGGAGGGCAGAUGACUGCUGAUGGUAGACGCUUACGAACAGGAGGUGGAAUAUUAUGGAACAUAAUGAAAACAAGAGAACCAAUGGCCUACAAAGAAAUUAUAAAAAAGGCCAAGGACUUUGAGGUGCGUAACAAUAUUAAUCCAGUAAAUAUAUUGAAACCAUCCCAUCUAAGCACUAAGCGGGCUACUUCAAUGUGAUUUUCCUCUAAUAGUUGCACAUACACAUACUUGUGCAUGUGAACAGGGCUUUGUUUUGUACAUGUGCAUGCAUUGGGAUCAUCAAGUUGCAUUCACAGCCUUCAUCCUUUGUCCUUUUUGGUCAUUCUGAACAAGAUUGUGAACUUUGAACAUGUCAUUCCAUCUGUGUGCUCUUCAAGGCUUUGUAUUGCAUUGUGCUUCUACAUGGGCAGUAGUUUUGUUCAAUAUUUUACUGUUUAAGUAGUAAUCUAUACAAUCCUGGAUUUAAUUUUUCAGAAGCAAUUUAAGAGACAAAAUAUCCAGCAAGCACAACAGCAAAACAAGGAGGGUUCCGCUCAAGAAACUGCAAUUUCAUUAACUGAUGAGGCUUCAUCCAGUGUUCCAGAAGGUUCUCAAGUAGUACCUCAAAAUCAGCAUGAACAGUCCUGUACUCAAAAGAAGCAUAUAUCUGUUCGUGACAGGAUCGGGGUACCUGUUUCAUAUGAUGACAUCCUUGGUGAUGAUCCAAAAAAUGAUUCUAUGUGAUUUUUGGGAAACAUGAAAAUUGGCUUGCCUUCACUUUGGGACUUGUGGGCUUGCUUACUCCUUUUCUUUUCUUUUCUUUUGAUAGGCGCAGAUAUCUUUUAAAAGGCUGCCAGAUGGAAUUUUUCUUCUCAAUUUUUGAAAUGAGGUUAUCGAAGAAUGUUACAUCAAUUUAUGGUUUUAUAAAUUUAAAAGUGACGCUUUUGGCCUCUACCUCUUGAAUAUAGUAUGUUGUUUCUUUGCCUCAGAAUCUUUUACUAUAGCUUAUUAUCAUGUAAAUUAUGUCUUUUCAGUUGGGUGAGAUCACUUACUGAAUUGUUCUGCGAAUACAUUUGCAACUAAUCCUUCUAUGGACAACCAUGUAAUUGCCUUGGUCCAAGUGGUGAUGCUUGUGUAUGAAAUCAGUAGAAACUAGAAAGAAUGCGGCUUAAAUCCUUGGAACCAUGUUUUUGGUGUAAAUUUUGUGGUGUUGCGGCAGUAACUUUAGUAAUUCCUUGCAAUCAUGCAUGCAUGAAAAGAAUUUUUUUUUUUUU